RNAcentral lists this ribosomal RNA (200 nucleotides) under uncultured bacterium. RNAcentral describes it as "partial 16S ribosomal RNA". It matches the Rfam family "Bacterial small subunit ribosomal RNA", at positions 8 to 221 of the family's 1533-position model. The record is from RNAcentral.
AGAGUUUGAUCCUGGCUCAGAAUAAACGCUGGCGGCGUGCUUAACACAUGCAAGUCGAGCGAGAAAGGUCUUCGGACUGAGUACAGCGGCAAACGGGUGAGUAACGCGUGGGAAUCUACCUUUUAGUGGAGAACACCCUCGAGAAAUCGAGGUUAAUACUGCAUAAGUCUCGAAAGAGAGAAAGAUGGCCUCUUUGCUAU